AUGGAGGAGUGCGGCGGCGGCGCUCUCCCUUCGUCUCCGUGCGCAGCGGCGGCGCUCUCCCUUCGUCUCCGUGCGUGGCGGCGGCGGCGGAGGUGUGCAUGCGCACAGCAGAAGGAUGGUGCCGCGAGCAGUUUUGGUGGCGGGUUCGAUUCCGGCGAGGACAAGAAGGCCGCCGCGCUUGGGGCUGCACGGUCCGACGACGUUUCUGCUACGCAGGCGAUUUGGGCUCGGCUCCACCCCCUGCAGAGGCCGGUGCCCUCGACGACUAUCGCCUCCUGCCGUGAGCCCGAGCUGCCAGUGCUACCGCCGCGCUCUUGGUACUGCUCGUCGCAACCCCAGAGCAACCUCCUCCCACUCCUCCAGCCGGCGCCACUGCCCUCCAUGGUGAGUCCAUCCCCUGCUAGAUACACCCGGGGGGCUAGCCGCUGGAUGCUCUGCUUCAUUAGUGUCGCACUACCCCUAAAAUUUGGCGCUCUGCAUUUUGCUAACUGUUGCUGCUAA
RNAcentral lists this ribosomal RNA (501 nucleotides) under Triticum aestivum (bread wheat). RNAcentral's name for it is "partial small subunit ribosomal RNA". The record is from RNAcentral. Lineage: Eukaryota; Viridiplantae; Streptophyta; Magnoliopsida; Poales; Poaceae.